AGUGAACGCUGGCGGUAGGCCUAACACAUGCAAGUCGAACGGCAGCACAGUAAGAGCUUGCUCUUACGGGUGGCGAGUGGCGGACGGGUGGGGAAUACAUCGGAAUCUACUUUUUCGUGGGGGAUAACGUAGGGAAACUUACGCUAAUACCGCAUACGACCUACGGGUGAAAGCAGGGGAUCUUCGGACCUUGCGCGAUUGAAUGAGCCGAUGUCGGAUUAGCUAGUUGGCGGGGUAAAGGCCCACCAAGGCGACGAUCCGUAGCUGGUCUGAGAGGAUGAUCAGCCACACUGGAACUGAGACACGGUCCAGACUCCUACGGGAGGCAGCAGUGGGGAAUAUUGGACAAUGGGCGCAAGCCUGAUCCAGCCAUACCGCGUGGGUGAAGAAGGCCUUCGGGUUGUAAAGCCCUUUUGUUGGGAAAGAAAAGCAGCAGGUUAAUACCCCGCUGUUCUGACGGUACCCAAAGAAUAAGCACCGGCUAACUUCGUGC
RNAcentral lists this ribosomal RNA (493 nucleotides) under uncultured bacterium. RNAcentral's name for it is "partial 16S ribosomal RNA". It matches the Rfam family "Bacterial small subunit ribosomal RNA", at positions 29 to 508 of the family's 1533-position model. The record is from RNAcentral.